UAUAUAUAUAAUAUUUGUGUUUUUCUCAUUUUAUGAACAUAAGUAUGUUGUUUCUCCCAUGAUAACUUAUGUAUUUAUUCUUGCUUUCUUGACAUUCAUUAUUUUUAAAGUUUUUUUGUUCCUUCAUGACAUGAACAAUAACAGCUUGAAUGACAGGAGCAAGACUACUCUUCUCAGACUUCACACUAGUCUGCCAUUUUUUUUCUUCUUUUUUUAUAUUAUUUCCUGUAAGAUUUGAUACCUUUUUUAACAACUAAACUUGUUCAACAUCUUGCCUGUAUCAUUUUGUAGUGUUCUGAGAGUAAAGAAGAAAAGUCUUGUGUUCACUUUUGCUUUAUCUAAAAGAACCUUGAGUUGCCUUUUAAACUUUUUUCUUCUUUGCUUUUCUUUUAGUAUUUUUUCACUGUCUUCAAUUUUCCUGUAAUAAUGGGAUCCUACAAUUGUGUAUAUUGUAUUUUACAUUUUUACUUUACUUUUACUGGACAACCUACAUUAUGGAAGGUUGUUUUGCUUAAAUAUCAUUCUUUGUGAUAAUUUGAAUAUCGAACCUUAUUAGAGACGCUUUCUUCUGUCAUUUAGACUUUGGAUUUUGAUUUGUAUGGUCUUCGGAAUCCUCUUGCUAUCAGCUUUUUGCAUGGUUCGCUCAGCAUAUUUGCCUUGCACGUUGUUGCUACAGUCUAUUCUCUGAUAUGUAAAAUCUCUGAUUGUAGAAAGCCUUAUAUAUCCUUAAAAAAUGGAGUGGCUAUGGUUUGAUAUUGGGUUGUGUAAUUUGGUUUAGAAUUGAACUCCGAUCAGUGUAAUUAUAGUUUAUCUUUCACAAUUAGAAUAUCUAACCACAACACAAUGUUUAUGGAUAUUUUUAUUUUUUUUUCUAAUUGGGAAAUUAAUGAAUCGUAGAAGAAUUGAUGUAGAUGUACUUUUCUUAUGCUACUUCUAAAUUUUGUGGGUUCUUCUAAGAUAGCUAAGAACCUAGUGAUAACAAUGUUUUCUUAUUUCUUAGUGUAAAAAGAUUCGAGUUAUGAGCACUCUCGUCUAUCAUUUGAUAUGCUUUGAAGUAAAGAAUGUCACUGUGCCUUUUGUUAGAUGAAUUGACAAGGUCAUUUUUGACCUCCAGCACUUCAGAACAUCCAUUGACAAGGUCCACCAAUCAUGGUUACGGUGUGCUUUCAAUAGGAUGACUGAAGUUAACUAGUCAUUUUUAUGUCCUCAAGCUGGGGAUGGAUGGGAUUUAUGCAUGAGUACCAUCACAACUGAUUAUUAUCUGUAGCUAUGUGAAUUGAGAACAUUUAUAUUAUAUUUAAUAAGACAAUACAUGGUCUGUUGCAGCUUGAUUGUCUGACAGUUUCUAAAAAUUCUUUGCAAAAGCAAAGAACCUCAUGGUGGUAAUAUUUCGAUAUUGCAAUUUCACAAGCUAACAUCUGUAUCUUUGAGUGUUUUCCUACGGCUUGAUGAUUUUCUUAAAAUUCGCAUUGACACGAGGGGCAAGGAUCUCCUGGUGCUAUAUAUAAUGGCAGAUAAUUGAUUCUUUGAAAGCUGUUUCUGAUACUCCGAAAUUGUUAUUUCUAGUGUGUAUUUCAGCAGCAUUACUGUUGUGAUCCAUGCAUUGCAGUACAGAAUGUUGAUCUAAUUACAUUAUUUUCAUGAGUUUUUAUGCAAGUGCCUGGAAUUACUCAUCAAAGUGGGUAUUGCAAUUUGCCAUCGUGAGAUCAGCUCUGCUUUUCUGGGAUGUUCAGGAAGGCCACUGCUGAUGCCGAUGCUGACUGAAAGGUGCUUAUGUUUUUCCUUGGCGUCGAUUGGCACUGCCGAUGCCGAUUGGUCGUGUUCAUGCUCUUCGGUUGAUUACUGAAGCCAUCAACGUGUUCAAAAUUUCUGUCAGAGGCUGCUGGAGUUGCAAAUCUACUGAUACCCACCAUGGUGGGAAUUGGAAGGUACCCCAAACAGAGCAGAUUGUGGAAGGCUUAGAAGUGAAAGAUCUGGACAAGCUGAGGGCCACCUUCAGACAUGCUGCCCUGUCAAGAUGUCGAUCAUCGAUCAUGCAUGCAGAGUUUCGGUGGGCUGUUGCCUUCAGUCUUCGGCAAUAAAUAGAGUCGCAUGUUUCCAUAGCGUAGGUGAAGGCAAUGGGAGCUACUGAGAUGGUAAGUGUCCACUGCUUCUUGUGCGUGACCCUCCUCAUUCUACUCUCUGCUGCUGCUGCAGGUACUAUGGAUGUGGGUUAUGUCCAGCCAUCUAACACCACCAUGUUCGACGGCGUCGCUGGCGGCACUGGGUGGUUGGAUCCAGAGAUGGCGACGGCCCAGCACAUAGUCUACGGUGCCUUGAAUGCCGGCCGACCGGCGGCCAAGUCUGCCAAGGGGGGGGCUUACACCCGUGGGUGUACGAAGUCUCAUUAUUGCAGAUAGUGAUCCUUUUAAGUCUCUUCGUUUCCAUAGGAGUCUCAUGAUCGAUGUGUCGUCGCAGAACCUACUUUGCUUGUAUGACUUGAUGAUGUUAUCAUUUGGCUUGCUUAUCUUUUUCCUGUGUUUGUUGUUUCGCUUCUCUGCGUGGAAAACAUAAACGUUUCGAUUCAUGAAACUCAAUUGUUCUUUUU
Long non-coding RNA from Musa acuminata AAA Group (dessert banana), 2587 nucleotides. RefSeq lists it as uncharacterized. The record is from RefSeq and is a predicted model, not a curated record. The transcript has 3 exons. NCBI's taxonomy places the organism in Eukaryota, Viridiplantae, Streptophyta, Magnoliopsida, Zingiberales, Musaceae.